UACGUAGGGUGCAAGCGUUAUUCGGAAUUACUGGGCGUAAAGCGUGCGCAGGCGGCUUUGCAAGGCAGAUGUGAAAUCCCCGGGCUUAACCUGGGAACUGCAUUUGUGACUGCAUGGCUGGAGUGUGGCAGAGGGGGAUGGAAUUCCGCGUGUAGCAGUGAAAUGCGUAGAUAUGCGGAGGAACACCGAUGGCGAAGGCAAUCCCCUGGGCCUGCACUGACGCUCAUGCACGAAAGCGUGGGGAGCAAACAGG
Molecule: ribosomal RNA, 253 nt
Filed under: uncultured bacterium
Lineage: Bacteria
Description: partial 16S ribosomal RNA
Rfam family: Bacterial small subunit ribosomal RNA
Source: RNAcentral